UACAGAGGUCUCAAGCGUUGUUCGGAUUCAUUGGGCGUAAAGGGCGCGUAGGCGGCAAGGCAAGUCGGGUGUGAAAGCUUGGGGCUUAACCCCGAAAGGGCACUCGAAACUGCCCUGCUAGAGGGCCGGAGAGGAGAUCGGAAUUCACGGUGUAGCAGUGAAAUGCGUAGAGCUCGUGAGGAAGACCGGUGGCGAGGGCGGAUCUCUGGGCCGCAACUGACGCUGAGGAGCGAAAGCAUGGGGAGCGAACAGG
RNAcentral lists this ribosomal RNA (253 nucleotides) under uncultured bacterium. Its description in RNAcentral is "partial 16S ribosomal RNA". It matches the Rfam family "Bacterial small subunit ribosomal RNA", at positions 524 to 776 of the family's 1533-position model. The record is from RNAcentral.